GACGAACACUGGCGGCGUGCCUAAUACAUGCAAGUAGAACGCUGAAGAGAGGAGCUUGCUCUUCUUGGAUGAGUUGCGAACGGGUGAGUAACGCGUAGGUAACCUGCCUUGUAGCGGGGGAUAACUAUUGGAAACGAUAGCUAAUACCGCAUAACAAUGGAUGACACAUGUCAUUUAUUUGAAAGGGGCAAUUGCUCCACUACAAGAUGGACCUGCGUUGUAUUAGCUAGUAGGUGAGGUAAUGGCUCACCUAGGCGACGAUACAUAGCCGACCUGAGAGGGUGAUCGGCCACACUGGGACUGAGACACGGCCCAGACUCCUACGGGAGGCAGCAGUAGGGAAUCUUCGGCAAUGGGGGCAACCCUGACCGAGCAACGCCGCGUGAGUGAAGAAGGUUUUCGGAUCGUAAAGCUCUGUUGUAAGUCAAGAACGGGUGUGAGAGUGGAAAGUUCACACUGUGACGGUAGCUUACCAGAAAGGGACGGCUAACUACGUG
RNAcentral lists this ribosomal RNA (497 nucleotides) under uncultured bacterium. Its description in RNAcentral is "partial 16S ribosomal RNA". It matches the Rfam family "Bacterial small subunit ribosomal RNA", at positions 28 to 507 of the family's 1533-position model. The record is from RNAcentral.